RNAcentral lists this ribosomal RNA (237 nucleotides) under Escherichia coli. RNAcentral describes it as "partial 23S ribosomal RNA". It matches the Rfam family "Bacterial large subunit ribosomal RNA", at positions 1 to 238 of the family's 2925-position model. RNAcentral also lists the same sequence under 1 other name. The record is from RNAcentral. Lineage: Bacteria; Pseudomonadati; Pseudomonadota; Gammaproteobacteria; Enterobacterales; Enterobacteriaceae.
GGUUAAGCGACUAAGCGUACACGGUGGAUGCCCUGGCAGUCAGAGGCGAUGAAGGACGUGCUAAUCUGCGAUAAGCGUCGGUAAGGUGAUAUGAACCGUUAUAACCGGCGAUUUCCGAAUGGGGAAACCCAGUGUGAUUCGUCACACUAUCAUUAACUGAAUCCAUAGGUUAAUGAGGCGAACCGGGGGAACUGAAACAUCUAAGUACCCCGAGGAAAAGAAAUCAACCGAGAUUCC